CAAGUCGAAACGAUGAUGCCCAGCUUGCUGGGUGGAUUAGUGGCGAACGGGUGAGUAACACGUGAGUAACCUGCCCUUGACUUCGGGAUAACUCCGGGAAACCGGGGCUAAUACCGGAUAUGAGCCGCCUUCGCAUGGGGGUGGUUGGAAAGUUUUUCGGUCAGGGAUGGGCUCGCGGCCUAUCAGCUUGUUGGUGGGGUGAUGGCCUACCAAGGCGACGACGGGUAGCCGGCCUGAGAGGGCGACCGGCCACACUGGGACUGAGACACGGCCCAGACUCCUACGGGAGGCAGCAGUGGGGAAUAUUGCACAAUGGGCGAAAGCCUGAUGCAGCGACGCCGCGUGAGGGAUGAAGGCCUUCGGGUUGUAAACCUCUUUCAGCAGGGAAGAAGCGCAAGUGACGGUACCUGCAGAAGAAGCGCCGGCUAACUACGUGCCAGCAGCCGCGGUAAUACGUAGGGCGCAAGCGUUGUCCGGAAUUAUUGGGCGUAAAGAGCUCGUAGGCGGUUUGUCGCGUCUGGUGUGAAAACUCGAGGCUCAACCUCGAGCUUGCAUCGGGUACGGGCAGACUAGAGUGCGGUAGGGGAGACUGGAAUUCCUGGUGUAGCGGUGGAAUGCGCAGAUAUCAGGAGGAACACCGAUGGCGAAGGCAGGUCUCUGGGCCGCAACUGACGCUGAGGAGCGAAAGCAUGGGGAGCGAACAGGAUUAGAUACCCUGGUAGUCCAUGCCGUAAACGUUGGGCACUAGGUGUGGGGCUCAUUCCACGAGUUCCGUGCCGCAGCAAACGCAUUAAGUGCCCCGCCUGGGGAGUACGGCCGCAAGGCUAAAACUCAAAGGAAUUGACGGGGGCCCGCACAAGCGGCGGAGCAUGCGGAUUAAUUCGAUGCAACGCGAAGAACCUUACCAAGGCUUGACA
RNAcentral lists this ribosomal RNA (917 nucleotides) under Cellulosimicrobium funkei. RNAcentral describes it as "bacterial SSU rRNA". It matches the Rfam family "Bacterial small subunit ribosomal RNA", at positions 58 to 986 of the family's 1533-position model. The record is from RNAcentral. Lineage: Bacteria; Bacillati; Actinomycetota; Actinomycetes; Micrococcales; Promicromonosporaceae.